GCGGCCGUGACGAAACCGGUAAACGUGCUCGCCUUGGGAGCGAGUGGGGUGCUUGCACCACCCCUUGGGAGUUCGAUUCUCCCCGGCCGCA
RNAcentral lists this transfer RNA (91 nucleotides) under Gemmatimonadota bacterium. RNAcentral's name for it is "Gemmatimonadetes bacterium tRNA-Pro". It matches the Rfam family "tRNA". Rfam says of the family: Transfer RNA (tRNA) molecules are approximately 80 nucleotides in length. Their secondary structure includes four short double-helical elements and three loops (D, anti-codon, and T loops). Further hydrogen bonds mediate the characteristic L-shaped molecular structure. tRNAs have two regions of fundamental functional importance: the anti-codon, which is responsible for specific mRNA codon recognition, and the 3' end, to which the tRNAs corresponding amino acid is attached (by aminoacyl-tRNA synthetases). tRNAs cope with the degeneracy of the genetic code in two manners: having more than one tRNA (with a specific anti-codon) for a particular amino acid; and 'wobble' base-pairing, i.e. permitting non-standard base-pairing at the 3rd anti-codon position. The record is from RNAcentral. RNAcentral also lists the same sequence under 1 other name. Lineage: Bacteria; Pseudomonadati; Gemmatimonadota.